GCCCAGACUCCUACGGGAGGCAGCAGUGGGGAAUAUUGCACAAUGGGGGGAACCCUGAUGUAGCGACGCCGCGUGAAGGAAGAAGUAUCUCGGUACGUAAAGCUCUAUCAGCAGGGAAGAAAAAAAGUCCUUUGGACUUUGGACGGUACCUGACUAAGAAGCCCCGGCUAACUACGUGCCAGCAGCCGCGGUAAUACGUAGGGGGCAAGCGUUAUCCGGAUUUACUGGGUGUAAAGGGAGCGUAGACGGCAGCGCAAGUCUGGAGUGAAAUGCCGGGGCCCAACCCCGGAACUGCUUUGGAAACUGUGCAGCUGGAGUGCAGGAGAGGGAAGCGGAAUUCCUAGUGUAGCGGUGAAAUGCGUAGAUAUUAGGAGGAACACCAGUGGCGAAGGCGGCGUACUGGACUGUAACUGACGUUGAGGCUCGAAAGCGUGGGGAGCAAACAGGAUUAGAUACCCCAGUAGAC
RNAcentral lists this ribosomal RNA (466 nucleotides) under uncultured bacterium. RNAcentral's name for it is "bacterial SSU rRNA". It matches the Rfam family "Bacterial small subunit ribosomal RNA", at positions 329 to 795 of the family's 1533-position model. The record is from RNAcentral.